GGGGGACUCCGAGUGUGAGGGCAUAUAGCCCUCGCUUUUCUGUACCGUAAGGUGGUACAGGAACAAGGACUGGGCAAGACCGGUGCCAGCCGCCGCGGUAAUACCGGCAGUCCAAGUGAUGGCCGAUAUUAUUGGGCCUAAAGCGUCCGUAGCUUGCUGGGCAAGUCCAUUGGGAAAUCGACCCGCUCAACUGGUCGGCGUCCGGUGGAAACUGCCCGGCUUGGGGCCGAAAGACUCGACGGGUACGUCCGGGGUAGGAGUGAAAUCCUGUAAUCCUGGACGGACCACCAAUGGGGAAACCACGUUGAGAGAACGGACCCGACAGUGAGGGACGAAAGCCAGGGUCUCGAACCGGAUUAGAUACCCGGGUAGUCCUGGCUGUAAACAAUGCUCGCUAGGUAUGUCACACGCCACGAGCACGUGAUGCGCCGUAGUGAAGACGAUAAGCGAGCCGCCUGGGAAGUACGUCCGCAAGGAUGAAACUUAAAGGAAUUGGCGGGGGAGCACCACAACCGGAGGAGCCUGCGGUUUAAUUGGACUCAACGCCGGACAUCUCACCGGUCCCGACAGUAGUAAUGACGGUCAGGUUGACGACUUUACCCGACGCUACUGAGA
This 615-nucleotide ribosomal RNA is filed under the name Haloarcula sp. GoH1. Its description in RNAcentral is "bacterial SSU rRNA". It matches the Rfam family "Archaeal small subunit ribosomal RNA", at positions 373 to 985 of the family's 1478-position model. Lineage: Archaea; Methanobacteriati; Methanobacteriota; Halobacteria; Halobacteriales; Haloarculaceae. The record is from RNAcentral.